CGCCUCUUGCAAAACCAAAGAAUAAGAGGUCCCGCCUGCCCGGUGACUAUAUGUUUAACGGCCGCGGUAUUUUGACCGUGCGAAGGUAGCGUAAUCACUUGUCUUUUAAAUGGAGACCUGUAUGAAUGGCAUAACGAGGGCUUAACUGUCUCCUCUUUCCAGUCAAUGAAAUUGAUCUCCCCGUGCAGAAGCGGGGAUAAAUACAUAAGACGAGAAGACCCUAUGGAGCUUUAGACACCAAGACAGAUCAUGUUAAAUACCCCUUGACAAAGGCCCGAACUUAAUGACCCCCUGUCCUAAUGUCUUCGGUUGGGGCGACCAUGGGGCAGCACAAAACCCCCAUGUGGACUGGGAGAACAAACCCAAAACCUUUUUCCCACACUCCCACAAGCAAGAGUUACAACUCUAACUAACAGAAUCUCUGACCUCUUACGAUCCGGCUCUCGCCGAUCAACGGACCAAGUUACCCUAGGGAUAACAGCGCAAUCCCCUUUUAGAGCCCAUAUCGACAAGGGGGUUUACGACCUCGAUGUUGGAUCAGGACAUCCUAAUGGUGCAGCCGCUAUUAAGGGUUCGUUUGUUCAACGAUUAAAGUCCU
Molecule: ribosomal RNA, 598 nt
Filed under: Caranx ignobilis x Caranx melampygus
Lineage: Eukaryota; Metazoa; Chordata; Actinopteri; Carangiformes; Carangidae
Also listed under: 1 other name
Description: partial 16S ribosomal RNA
Rfam family: Bacterial large subunit ribosomal RNA
Source: RNAcentral